CAGUGAAUCAUCGAAUCUUUGAACGCACCUUGCGCUCCUUGGUAUUCCGAGGAGCAUGCCUGUUUGAGUGUCAGU
Molecule: ribosomal RNA, 75 nt
Filed under: Rhizopogon luteolus
Lineage: Eukaryota; Fungi; Basidiomycota; Agaricomycetes; Boletales; Rhizopogonaceae
Also listed under: 2 other names
Description: partial 5.8S ribosomal RNA
Rfam family: 5.8S ribosomal RNA
About the family: 5.8S ribosomal RNA (5.8S rRNA) is a component of the large subunit of the eukaryotic ribosome. It is transcribed by RNA polymerase I as part of the 45S precursor that also contains 18S and 28S rRNA.
Source: RNAcentral